This 479-nucleotide ribosomal RNA is filed under the name uncultured bacterium. RNAcentral describes it as "bacterial SSU rRNA". It matches the Rfam family "Bacterial small subunit ribosomal RNA", at positions 32 to 507 of the family's 1533-position model. The record is from RNAcentral.
GACGCUGGCGGCGUGCCUAACACAUGCAAGUCGAGCGAGUAAUUUAGUAAUUGAUCCCGUUCGGGGUGAUUUUGACUAAGGAAAGCGGCGGACGGGUGAGUAACGCGUGAGUAACCUGCCCUUUGGAGUGGGAUAACACAGAGAAAUCUGUGCUAAUACCGCAUAAUAUAUGUUUACCGCAUGAUAGACAUAUCAAAGAUUUAUCGCCAAAGGAUGGACUCGCGUCUGAUUAGAUAGUUGGUGAGGUAACGGCUCACCAAGUCGACGAUCAGUAGCCGAACUGAGAGGUUGAUCGGCCACAUUGGGACUGAGACACGGCCCAGACUCCUACGGGAGGCAGCAGUGGGGAAUAUUGCGCAAUGGGGGAAACCCUGACGCAGCAACGCCGCGUGAAGGAAGAAGGUCUUCGGAUUGUAAACUUUUGUCUUAUGGGAAGAAUUUUGACGGUACCAUAGGAGGAAGCCACGGCUAACUACGUG